RNAcentral lists this long non-coding RNA (418 nucleotides) under Helianthus annuus (common sunflower). RNAcentral's name for it is "sRNA HanXRQr2_Chr11g0489191". The record is from RNAcentral. Lineage: Eukaryota; Viridiplantae; Streptophyta; Magnoliopsida; Asterales; Asteraceae.
CUCACUCAUCAUUGUGAUUCCAGUCGCUUCAUCCACAACUUUAGAGGUUGAAAUUUAUUAGGAAACUAAACUGAUAAAAUCCCAGUGCCAAAGGUGAUUAUAAAUCAGGACUCAGAUCUAGAUCUAGAUCUUGAUGCAAGUGUGAUGGGAUCACUUACAAAUCUUGGAAUGAAUGUUGUCAAGGCAAAUGAUCAUCUGAAUUCUUCCGGGAAUCACACCAUGUUUUUAACAACUGAAGCAUCAUAGACAUGAUGCAGCAAGAGCAGAAAAUUCAUUUACUCUUAUUUUUAGGAGUGAAUUAAUCGGUAUGCAAAUCUGCAAAAAAGGGGCAAAAUUGCAAAGGCUAAAAGACUGAUGAUGUUCAAACUGGUAACGGUUUGGUUUGGUUUCAAAUUUCAGCGGUUUGGUUCUGGUUUAC